Long non-coding RNA from Oncorhynchus keta (chum salmon), 1642 nucleotides. RefSeq lists it as uncharacterized. The record is from RefSeq and is a predicted model, not a curated record. NCBI's taxonomy places the organism in Eukaryota, Metazoa, Chordata, Actinopteri, Salmoniformes, Salmonidae. The transcript has 5 exons.
GCUGUUUUGAGAUCAUAUUCUUUGCUCGUUGGUGAGUUAUUAGCCCAGUUAUAGAUCAGUUGUAGUCCUCAAUGGGGGAGUGUUUGUUUCCUACAAGACACAACACGUGUGCAUUUCUAGACGUCUUUGAAAAGUGAUUCGGAAGCACUCUGAAACCCCCCAACUCAGAGCACCCUUUCCCAGCCACGAGCAGAGCAACAGCCCCUUACCUUUUUGGAGUCCUGGAGGAGACGAGGUACUGUGGACUGGAGUCCUGGAGGAGACGAGGUACUGUGGACUGUGUGGAGCUAAAGAUCAGAGCUGCUACUCCCUCGAGACAGUGAGAAAGUGAACCAGAAACAGACCUGUGAAACCCUGCCUGCAGAUGAAGAACAAUGGUUCCCAGUCCUGUUCCUGGGGUCUCAAAGGGAUGCCUUGCAACUUGAAAUUUCUUCAAAACGAUUGUCACUGUGUAGGGCACUGCACAGUUGGGUGACCAGGGCCAUCUGGGACUGUUGUCGUGGAAAUUUCCUCUAUUUACCAAAUCAUGGGAGCAAACCACACACACAAGCAUCUGUGAAGACUACCUGUGUCCUGCUUAACUUCAUGAUGAUGAACAGGAGGGGACAUGCAGCGCUCCGCCGUGUGCCAGAGGAGAGGUCUGCUGCUCUGCAGGAUGUUGCCAGGAUGGGGGCCAACAACGCAGCACAGUAGGCAAUCUGUGUGCAGGAGACCUUCACCUCCUACUUCUUCACAGAGGAUGCUGUUCCUUGGCAACACCAUAGACUACACUAUGCACAACCAAAGCCAUCCACAUUGCAAUAAGAGUAUUCUUGAAUUUACUUAGCUAUGUUAACUGCAGUUAUUCAAUUUCCAGUUUCUCUUCCUUUGAUUUCUACUUUGCGGGUGAGGGUGCUGUUUAGGUAGGAGUGGUGUCUGUACAAAAACAAAACAGACUCUCACCCAUUUUGAAAACAUUUAGAACAAUUAGACACCCUAUAAGCCACAACUACACACUUGUCUAUUGCUAUAAAGAAGCGUUAACACACCUCACACAGGCCUUUUUUCAGGUGAAUACGUUUUAGAAAAAAAAAUUAGUGUGUGUUUCCGGAAAAAAGGGCCACUAUUGUCUCAAAAGUCCGUUAUUAUUGACUUUUAAAACAAUUAUUGUUCAUCAGUAAAAGGGGCAAUCCGCAGUUAAUAUAACUUGUGCUUAGUUCAACUGUUGUACCCCAUUGUUAGAGGAGAUUAUGGUUGAAAUGAUUAAUUAUGUAUACAUUAUUGAUUAGAACCAUUUAUUCUAAUACUAUUAUGUUAUGGUAUGAAAAGUAAAAGUUAUUGGUUAAGCUGUUACUGAAAAUGUAAGCAGAAAUAAUUCAUUGUCUGUGCCUCUUGGGAAGUUUAAGGGGGAGGGAUGAGAUAGCUUUUCAGACAGAUAAGAAUGUUUUGGUUGGAUUCCAUUAGUGGAGAGAUGCUAGUGGUUGGAAUGUAGUUUUAUGGGAGGAGCAGGAAGAUUGUACCAGACCUAAUAAACAAUGGGCUCUUAUGAGAAUCGGAGAGAGGGUGGGAAACUGAUGAUGUCAUUUUCAGUUUAUAACCUGUGGAAAUGUGUGUAAGCAUUUAGUACUCUCUUGUAAUAAACGCUGUUACUUUUGGCUUUUAA